GAUGAACGCUGGCGGCGUGCCUAAUACAUGCAAGUCGAGCGAACGGACGAGAAGCUUGCUUUUCUGAUGUUAGCGGCGGACGGGUGAGUAACACGUGGAUAACCUACCUAUAAGACUGGGAUAACUUCGGGAAACCGGAGCUAAUACCGGAUAAUAUUUUGAACCGCAUGGUUCAAAAGUGAAAAACGGUCUGGCUGUCACUUAUAGAGGGAUCCGCGCUGCAUUAGCUAGUUGGUAAGGUAACGGCUUACCAAGGCAACGAUGCAUAGCCGACCUGAGAGGGUGAUCGGCCACACGGGAACUGAGACACGGUCCAGACUCCUACGGGAGGCAGCAGUAGGGAAUCUUCCGCAAUGGGCGAAAGCCUGACGGAGCAACGCCGCGUGAGUGAUGAAGGUCUUCGGAUCGUAAAACUCUGUUAUUAGGGAAGAACAUAUGUGUAAGUAACUGUGCACAUCUUGACGGUACCUAAUCAGAAAGCCACGGCUAACUACGUG
This 497-nucleotide ribosomal RNA is filed under the name uncultured bacterium. RNAcentral's name for it is "partial 16S ribosomal RNA". It matches the Rfam family "Bacterial small subunit ribosomal RNA", at positions 28 to 507 of the family's 1533-position model. The record is from RNAcentral.